AUGCCUACGGGGGGCAGCAGUGGGGAAUAUUGGGCAAUGGGCGCAAGCCUGACCCAGCAACGCCGCGUGAAGGAAGAAGGCUUUCGGGUUGUAAACUUCUUUUAUGAGGGACGAAAGAAAUGACGGUACCUCAUGAAUAAGCCACGGCUAACUACGUGCCAGCAGCCGCGGUAAUACGUAGGUGGCAAGCGUUAUCCGGAUUUACUGGGUGUAAAGGUCGUGUAGGCGGGAAUGCAAGUCAGGUGUUCAAAUUAU
Molecule: ribosomal RNA, 255 nt
Filed under: uncultured bacterium
Lineage: Bacteria
Description: partial 16S ribosomal RNA
Rfam family: Bacterial small subunit ribosomal RNA
Source: RNAcentral